Non-coding RNA from Blastosporella zonata, 84 nucleotides. NCBI's taxonomy places the organism in Eukaryota, Fungi, Basidiomycota, Agaricomycetes, Agaricales, Lyophyllaceae. The record is from the annotation of a GenBank genome assembly.
CCGACCUUAGCUCAGUUGGUAGAGCGUGAGACUGUAAUGGUUACCCCAAUCUCAAUGUCGCCUGUUCGAUCCAGGCAGGUCGGA